Molecule: long non-coding RNA, 1651 nt
Filed under: Anolis carolinensis (green anole)
Lineage: Eukaryota; Metazoa; Chordata; Lepidosauria; Squamata; Anolidae
Description: lncRNA (ENSACAG00000040790.1)
Source: RNAcentral
CUCUUAUGACUCAAGGCCGGGGUAAUAAUAGUGUAUAACAAUGAUAAUAAUAAUGAUUUUUAAAAUUGUGUCAGGAGCGACUUGAGAACAUACUGCAAGUUGCUUCUGGUGUGAGAGAAUUGACUGUCUACAGAGACGUUGCCCAGGGGACGCCCAGAUGUGUUAUCAUCCUGCUGGGAGGAUUCUCUCAUGUCCCCACAAGAUGAUAAUGAUAAUAAAAUAUAGUAAUAAUACUGUAGUAAUAAUAAAAAAUAAAAUACAAUAAUAACUGUUAUAAUAACACUAUGUAACAAAAUUUGAAAAAAAAAUCUGUUUCUCGUUUGAAAGUGUUAUUUCCAGUUUCAUUAUGUGAUACUUACUUUGAAAGUAGUUAUUUUAUUCCAGCUUGAUUAGCAUUAAAUAGCCUUGCAACUUGAAGGCCUGGCUGCUUCUUGCCUGGGUGAACCCUUUCUUGGGAGGUGUUAGCUGGCCCUGAUUGUUUCUUGUCUGGAAUUCCUCUGUUUUCUGAGUGUUGCUCUUUAUUUACUGUCCUGGUUUUAGAGUUUUUAAAAAAAAUACUGAUAGUCAGAUAUUGUUCAUUUUCAUGGUUUUCCUUCUGUUGAAAUUGUCCACAUGCUUGUAGAUUUCAAUGGCCUCUCUGUGUUGUCUGACAUGGUGGUUGUUAGCGUGGUCCAGCAUUUCUUUGUCCUCGAAUAAUAUCCUGUGUUUAGGAUGUUCACUGCCAUGGCUAAAUGCUAUGGAUCCCCCUUUGCUGAGAGCUAUUGUUAUUAUGAAACCAAAGUGCCCUCUACUGGCCACAACAAGAAAAGGCAGGCGAUGGCUUUUCAAGGUAGCCUUCCCCAAUCGAGUGGCGUCCAACAGUUUUGGACUUCGAUUCCCAGAAGCUCCAGCCAGCAUGAGCAACGGCCAGGAAUUCUGGGAGAUGAAGUCCAACACCUGUGAAGCCCUGCCACAGAAGGGAGGAAGGGAGAAGAGCCACGGGGGCUUGUCCUUUCCCGGGGGCGGGGCCAGGAGCGGCUCUGUUCUCUUGGAAGGGGCGUGUCCUUUCCCUAGAAGGGGCGGAGUCAGUGAUCCCCUCUAUUCUCUGAAAGAGGCGUGUCCUUUACCUGGAAGGGGCGGGGCCAGGGGCGUUUCCUUUCUCUUCCUUUCCCUGGAAGGGACGGAGCCGGGGCGUGUCCUUUCUAUCGGAGAGGGCGUGUCUUUCCCUGGGAGGGGCGGAGCCAGGAGCGUCUCUGUUCUCUUGGAAGAGGCGUGUCUUUCCCUGGGAUGGGCGUGUCUUUCCCUGGUAAGGGGCGGGGCCAAGGGCGCAUCUGUUCUUCUGGAAGGGGCGUGUCCUUUCUCUGGGAUGGGCGUGUCUUUCCCUGGGAGGGGCGGAGCCAGGAACGGUAUUUCUCUUGCAAGGGGCGUGUCUUUCCCUGGUAAGGGGCGGGGUCAAGGGUGCCUCUGUUCUCUUGGGAGGGGCGUGUCUUUUCUCUGGGAUGGGCGUGUCUUUCCCUGGGAGGGUCGGAGCCAGGAGCGGUAUUUCUCUAGGAAGGGCGUGUCUUUCCCUGGUAAGGGGCGGGGCCAAGGUCGCAUCUGUUCUUCUGGAAGGGGCGUGUCUUUCUCUGGGAGGGGCGGAUCCAGGAGCGUCUCUGUUCUCUUUCCCUGGUAA